RNAcentral lists this long non-coding RNA (749 nucleotides) under Marmota monax (woodchuck). Lineage: Eukaryota; Metazoa; Chordata; Mammalia; Rodentia; Sciuridae. The record is from RNAcentral.
CAAAGUUCUCCCCUCUUACAGGCUGAAAGUCCAUGAUCAAGCUGCUAGCAUGGUUAGGUUCUGGUGAGAUAUGAGAGCUCUUCUGUCAGCUUUCCCUGCCCAUAUGUAGCAGAAAGACCCAAAGCUCUUUGUUGCCUCUCCUUAUAAGGCACUAAUCCCAUCAUGGCCAUGCCCUCAUGUAACAGCUGGGCCCUUGUGAUUUCAUUUAAACUAAUUAUUUUCCAAAGACAGAGUCAAAUGAUCAAAUACUAUCACAUUUUGGGUUGGAGUUUCAAGAUUAUGAAUGUGGAAGGGACAGAGUCCAAACCAUAGCAUUCCCCCAUAUUGUUUCAUUUCUAUUUUAAAAGACUUUGGGCUUUUGAAUUAAUUUUAGGUUCACAGCAAAACUGAGAGGAAGUUAGAAAUUUUUUUAAUAACCCUGGUCCUACACAUGCAUAGCCUCACCCAACAUAAUAUCCCCCACCUAAGUGGUGUACUUGUUACGAGUGAUGAAUUUACAAGGGUACAUCACAAUCCCCCAAAGUCCAUGGUUUGCUUUGGGUUAGAUUCUUGGUAUUGAACAUUCUAUGGGUUUGAACAAAUGUAUAAUGGUACAUAUCCACCAUUAUAGUAUCAACAUAGUAUUUUCACUCCCCCCAAAAUCCUGUCUCCAGCCUGGUGCAGUGACUUAAUCCCAGCAGCUCAGGAGGCUGAAGCAAGAGGAUCUUGAAUUCAAAGCCAGCCUCAGCAAAAUCCAGGCGCUAAGCAAC